GACGAACGCUGGCGGCGUGCUUAACACAUGCAAGUCGAACGGAAAGUCCCCUUUGGGGGUUCUCGACGGGAGAACUGGUUAGGAGCACGUGAGUAACCUGCCCUGGACUUCGGAAUAACUUCAGGCAACGGGGGCUAAUACCGGAUAGGCAGCUUUGCUGCAUGAAGGGGAUUGGAAAGCUUCGGCGGUAUGGGAUGGACUCGCGGCUUAUUAGCCUGGGGGUGUGGUAAUGGCUCACCAAGGCGAUGACGGAUAGCCGGUCGGAGAGGGGGACCGGCCACAUUGGGACUGAGACACGGCCAGAACUCCUACGGGAGGGAGCAGUGGGGGAUAUUGCACAAUGGGGGAAACCCUGAUGCAGCGACGCCGCGUGAGUGAAGAAGUAUUUCGGUAUGUAAAGCUCUAUCAGCAGGGAAGAAAAUGACGGUACCUGAGUAAGAAGCCCCGGCUAACUACGUG
Molecule: ribosomal RNA, 459 nt
Filed under: uncultured bacterium
Lineage: Bacteria
Description: partial 16S ribosomal RNA
Rfam family: Bacterial small subunit ribosomal RNA
Source: RNAcentral